Molecule: microRNA precursor, 103 nt
Filed under: Marmota monax (woodchuck)
Lineage: Eukaryota; Metazoa; Chordata; Mammalia; Rodentia; Sciuridae
Source: RNAcentral
AAUGGGGUAACUGGGUCAAAUGGUGGUUCCAUUACAAGUUGUCUAAAGAAUAUCUAUACUGCUUUCCACAGUGUUUUUACCAAUUUGCAGUUCCACCAGCAAU